UUCAUAAUGGCGUUCAAGCAAGGAGGUUGUAUCAACUGUGCUCUUAUUCAACAUAAAGUUUUUAAGAGAAGUCUUCAUUGGAUGAUACCGUAAAUCAGUAGUUUUCAAUAUUUCCUCUAGCCAUUUUCAAUGAAAGUUAUGUUGAGCCGACAGGUUAAUGUUGAUUUUGUUAUUUUGAGUCGCUGUUCGAUUUCGGCUAAGUUUUCAUGUGAGAAGAAGACUGCGUUAACUUAAAGCGGCAGGAUCCCUCUUCUGAGUGAACCCAAUUUUAUAAACCAUGCUGUUACGUCACAUUGCUGAUUCCAAUAAAUUUAUUUAAAAAUAGCUUCAAACUAUAAUAAAAACAGUGCACAGGUCUAAAUGUUCCGUCUUUACUUCUUUUGUUUCUAGCUUAAUAGAGUCUGGAUGAAAAGUUUGAGGUGCAUAAAUCCAAGAGUGUAACUUGGGGAUUUUAUUCUAUCUUCCUGCUCGAUUAACAGAUGGUUCGGAAGUAUCGGAGAAAGAAAAUGCUUAUAACAAAAAAUUUCCAAGAGGCAGCUUUUAAUAAACUGGGCACUUUAAUUUAGAUCUCAUAAAGUAUAUUAUAUUAUUUAUUUAAUUCAAUUGGCGCGCACUACAUGAAGCCCCUUCGAUGGCCUGUGGAUGUAGGCCAGUACAUGAGUGCAUAAAGAUAAAUACUAUAUUAAGUAUAAGGAUUAUGAAUUAAAAAGUAGAGCAUAAGUUGUACUAUAAGGGAAAUACAAAAAAAAUUGUAAGCCGUAUAGCAUCUGCGGCGUUAGAAGACCGUAGGCUAGUUUAUAUUGGACCAAUUGUGGUGAAUAAAACAUCUUAAAAUAAAUAGUUCGCUAGGUUACUACAAUUUUUCUAUGUAUGGAAUCUAUGUGCUUCUCAAAAAUGAGACGAUGGUCAAUAUAUGUGUGUAAGCACUUAAGAAAGUCAACAAGUAUCUAUUGUUGUCUACGUUGUCACCAAUAAGGAUAUCCACAUGGGGAUGAUUAAUAUUACCAUAAAACAUUAGUUUUGAUUUAGAUAGGUUGAUGACUAGAAUAUUCGCCAAUAACAAUUCUAAAAGCCCAUCACAAUUGCUACUAUAAGUGCUAAAAGGAAGAAUCUCAUC
This is a long non-coding RNA of Glossina fuscipes, 1117 nucleotides long. RefSeq lists it as uncharacterized. The transcript has 6 exons. The record is from RefSeq and is a predicted model, not a curated record. NCBI's taxonomy places the organism in Eukaryota, Metazoa, Arthropoda, Insecta, Diptera, Glossinidae.